This 28-nucleotide non-coding RNA is filed under the name Mus musculus (house mouse). The record is from RNAcentral. Lineage: Eukaryota; Metazoa; Chordata; Mammalia; Rodentia; Muridae.
UGAAGAAAAUCCACUUUGGGUUCGUGAA